This is a non-coding RNA of Lasiosphaeria miniovina, 83 nucleotides long. NCBI's taxonomy places the organism in Eukaryota, Fungi, Ascomycota, Sordariomycetes, Sordariales, Lasiosphaeriaceae. The record is from the annotation of a RefSeq genome assembly.
GCUCUUGUAGCUUAGGGGUAGAGCAUCAGUUAAGCAACUACGAGAGCGAUCUAAGUACGCUGGUUCGAUUCCAGCCAAGGGCA